CCUCUUCGAUCUGCUGUGGGCAGAUGAAGUGAAUGUGCGUAUCGACGCCGCCUGCGGUAAGGAUCAUGCCUUCGCCAGCGAUGACUUCAGUGGAGGCGCCGACGGCGAUGGUCACGUCGGGUUGAAUGUCCGGGUUGCCGGCCUUGCCGAUGGCGGCGAUGCGGCCGUUCUUGAGGCCGACGUCAGCUUUUACGAUGCCCCAGUGAUCGAUGAUCAACGCGUUGGUGAUCAGCGUGUCGACCACCUCGGCAGCCAGCAACUGGCCUUGGCCCAUACCGUCACGG
This 284-nucleotide small RNA is filed under the name Pseudomonas floridensis. RNAcentral describes it as "5' ureB small RNA". It matches the Rfam family "5' ureB small RNA". Lineage: Bacteria; Pseudomonadati; Pseudomonadota; Gammaproteobacteria; Pseudomonadales; Pseudomonadaceae. The record is from RNAcentral.